This is a long non-coding RNA of Fukomys damarensis (Damara mole-rat), 279 nucleotides long. RefSeq lists it as uncharacterized. Lineage: Eukaryota; Metazoa; Chordata; Mammalia; Rodentia; Bathyergidae. The record is from RefSeq and is a predicted model, not a curated record. The transcript has 3 exons.
CUGGGAUGGGAUCAGGAGGCGCUGGGUCUGAAGAGCCACUCUGGAGGGUGCUUCCCAGGUGUGCGGCAUGGGCAGGCCAGAAGUACCAGACAACAAGCCUGUGCUAAAUCCUUUUGCACCCUGGCAAGCGACAACACUGGUCACUGCGCAAGCGGGAUGCCUUGGAAGGCCCUGCCACCGCACAUGGCAGGACACAGCCGAGCGGAUCUAAGAGCCCACAGCGCAUCUACUCGUUUGUUUGAAGCCUGAGAGCUCUCCAGGCAGCGCUGAUGUGUCCGG